This 254-nucleotide ribosomal RNA is filed under the name uncultured bacterium. RNAcentral describes it as "partial 16S ribosomal RNA". It matches the Rfam family "Bacterial small subunit ribosomal RNA", at positions 74 to 334 of the family's 1533-position model. The record is from RNAcentral.
CAAACCAAAGCUGGCGACCGGCGCACGGGUGAGUAACACGUAUCCAACCUACCUCAUACUCGGGGAUAGCCUUUCGAAAGAAAGAUUAAUAUCCGAUAGCAUAUAUUUCCCGCAUGGGUUUUAUAUUAAAGAAAUUCGGUAUGAGAUGGGGAUGCGUUCCAUUAGUUUGUUGGGGGGUAACGGCCCACCAAGACUACGAUGGAUAGGGGUUCUGAGAGGAAGGUCCCCCACAUUGGAACUGAGACACGGUCCAA